Molecule: long non-coding RNA, 462 nt
Organism: Oreochromis aureus
Lineage: Eukaryota; Metazoa; Chordata; Actinopteri; Cichliformes; Cichlidae
Source: Ensembl
GUUUCGGACAGGUAAUGGCGGACAUGCGAUAGUUCGGGCUGACUUAUAUUCCAACAUAGGAAGUGUUAUAAACAGCUGAUCGGAUCGGCAAAGCCUGUUUCUGGAAUAUUGUGUUUUUGUUGCUGCAAGUCUGGAAUAUUAUGUUUUUGUUGCUGGAAGUGCUUUUUAUGCAAUUUUUUGCAAAGCUAUAUGUGGAAGAAAACCGUGACCUAGGGCAAGCUAAUGGAAUAAGAUCGCUCAGAGCAAGUGACUGUGAUGGGCUGUCAAACCGCAUCUAAAGUACUCUACCAAAGAAUAAUAUCCACUCCUGACCUACUCUGAAGAAAAAUAUUUCAUUCGAUCAAUGUCGCAGUCUCCCCCGCAGGGGAAUUACUCUUGAACAAUAGGUGAACCCUAAGAAAAGAGCAACACUGGACCAUGUGAUACUUGACCUUCAAAGAAAGAACUCAGGUACACUCCAGA